RNAcentral lists this ribosomal RNA (465 nucleotides) under uncultured Streptococcus sp. RNAcentral describes it as "bacterial SSU rRNA". It matches the Rfam family "Bacterial small subunit ribosomal RNA", at positions 338 to 795 of the family's 1533-position model. The record is from RNAcentral. Lineage: Bacteria; Bacillati; Bacillota; Bacilli; Lactobacillales; Streptococcaceae.
CCUACGGGAGGCAGCAGUAGGGAAUCUUCGGCAAUGGGGGCAACCCUGACCGAGCAACGCCGCGUGAGUGAAGAAGGUUUUCGGAUCGUAAAGCUCUGUUGUAAGAGAAGAACGAGUGUGAGAGUGGAAAGUUCACACUGUGACGGUAACUUACCAGAAAGGGACGGCUAACUACGUGCCAGCAGCCGCGGUAAUACGUAGGUCCCGAGCGUUAUCCGGAUUUAUUGGGCGUAAAGCGAGCGCAGGCGGUUAGAUAAGUCUGAAGUUAAAGGCUGUGGCUUAACCAUAGUACGCUUUGGAAACUGUUUAACUUGAGUGCAGAAGGGGAGAGUGGAAUUCCAUGUGUAGCGGUGAAAUGCGUAGAUAUAUGGAGGAACACCGGUGGCGAAAGCGGCUCUCUGGUCUGUAACUGACGCUGAGGCUCGAAAGCGUGGGGAGCAAACAGGAUUAGAUACCCCAGUAGUC